This 484-nucleotide ribosomal RNA is filed under the name uncultured bacterium. Its description in RNAcentral is "partial 16S ribosomal RNA". It matches the Rfam family "Bacterial small subunit ribosomal RNA", at positions 30 to 507 of the family's 1533-position model. The record is from RNAcentral.
AUUGAACGCUGGCGGCAGGCCUAACACAUGCCAGUCGAGCGGAUGAAGGGAGCUUGCUCCUGGAUUCAGCGGCGGACGGGUGAGUAAUGCCUAGGAAUCUGCCUGGUAGUGGGGGAUAACGUCCGGAAACGGGCGCUAAUACCGCAUACGUCCUGAGGGAGAAAGUGGGGGAUCUUCGGACCCCACGCUAUCAGAUGAUCCUAGGUCGGAUUAGCUAGUUGUUGGGUUAAAGGCCUACCAAGGCGACGAUCCGUAACUGGUCUGAGAGGAUGAUCAGUCACACUGGAACUGAGACACGGUCCAGACUCCUACGGGAGGCAGCAGUGGGGAAUAUUGGACAAUGGGCGAAAGCCUGAUCCAGCCAUGCCGCGUGUGUGAAGAAGGUCUUCGGAUUGUAAAGCACUUUAAGUUGGGAGGAAGGGCAGUAAGUUAAUACCUUGCUGUUUUGACGUUACCAACAGAAUAAGCACCGGCUAACUUCGUG